Molecule: unclassified non-coding RNA, 247 nt
Filed under: Hevea brasiliensis (rubber tree)
Lineage: Eukaryota; Viridiplantae; Streptophyta; Magnoliopsida; Malpighiales; Euphorbiaceae
Source: RNAcentral
UGUAGAUGUCCCUUCGACAGAGAGUCAGCCAGGUUCCAUUACCAAAAUUUAUAUGAACAAUUGGUUCAGUUCAGUCUAAUCACUAGCUUCUAUGGUUAAUUAUUUUCCCUGGAAUUUGUACUUCAAACAAGGGAUAAUUUGUACUGCAAAUUCAGAUUCUAUAUCACACGCUUGGAUUCAUGAGAAGAAAUAGAACUCAUGUUUUCAUAUCAACAAACUGGUGCAACUUUUACCCACCAUCCAUCAA